AGUAAUACCGUAUACGCCCUUUGGGGGAAAGAAUUAAUCGGAGAAGGAUCGGCCCGCGUUGGAUUAGGUAGUUGGUGGGGUAAUGGCCCACCAAGCCGACGAUCCAUAGCUGGUUUGAGAGGAUGAUCAGCCACACUGGGACUGAGACACGGCCCAGACUCCUACGGGAGGCAGCAGUGGGGAAUCUUAGACAAUGGGGGCAACCCUGAUCUAGCCAUGCCGCGUGAGUGAUGAAGGCCUUAGGGUUGUAAAGCUCUUUCAGCUGGGAAGAUAAUGACGGUACCAGCAGAAGAAGCCCCGGCUAACUCCGUGCCAACAGCCGCGGUAAUACGGAGGGGGCUAGCGUUGUUCGGAAUUACUGGGCGUAAAGCGCACGUAGGCGGACUGGAAAGUCAGAGGUGAAAUCCCAGGGCUCAACCUUGGAACUGCCUUUGAAACUAUCAGUCUGGAGUUCGAGAGAGGUGAGUGGAAUUCCGAGUGUAGAGGUGAAAUUCGUAGAUAU
This 502-nucleotide ribosomal RNA is filed under the name uncultured bacterium. Its description in RNAcentral is "bacterial SSU rRNA". It matches the Rfam family "Bacterial small subunit ribosomal RNA", at positions 162 to 697 of the family's 1533-position model. The record is from RNAcentral.